RNAcentral lists this ribosomal RNA (498 nucleotides) under uncultured bacterium. Its description in RNAcentral is "partial 16S ribosomal RNA". It matches the Rfam family "Bacterial small subunit ribosomal RNA", at positions 28 to 507 of the family's 1533-position model. The record is from RNAcentral.
GACGAACGCUGGCGGCGUGCCUAACACAUGCAAGUCGAGCGGACGAAUCGAAAGCUUGCUUUUUUUUCGUUAGCGGCGCACGGGUGUGUAACACGUGUGCAACCUGCCCUGUAGACGGGGAUAACCCCGAGAAAUCGGUGCUUAUACCGGAUAACACGAAAUGUCGCAUGACGUUUCGUUGAAAGACGGCGCAAGCUGUCGCUACAGGAUGUGCCCGCGGCGCAUUAGCUAGUUGGUGGGGUAACGGCUCACCAAGGCGACGAUGCGUAGCCGACCUGAGAGGGUGAUAGGCCACACGGGAACUGAGACACGGACCAGACUCCUACGGGAGGCAGCAGUAGGGAAUAUUGCGCAAUGGGCGAAAGUCUGACGGAGCAAGGCCGCGUGAGAGAAGAAGGCCUUCGGGUCGUAAAGCUCUGUUGUUAGGGAAGAACAGGUAACGCAGUAAAUGGCGUUACAGUGACGGUACCUGACGAAAAAGCAACGGCUAACUACGUG